This 377-nucleotide ribosomal RNA is filed under the name uncultured bacterium. RNAcentral describes it as "bacterial SSU rRNA". It matches the Rfam family "Bacterial small subunit ribosomal RNA", at positions 523 to 898 of the family's 1533-position model. The record is from RNAcentral.
AUACGUAGGGGGCGAGCGUUGUCCGAAUUCACUGGGCGUAAAGCGCGCGUAGGCGGGUUUUUAAGUUGUGGGUGAAAUUCCGAGGCUCAACCUCGGAACUGCCUGCAAAACUGGGAGCCUUGAGGUAUGGAGAGGGAAGUGGAAUUCCUGGUGUAGCGGUGAAAUGCGUAGAUAUCAGGAGGAACACCCGUGGCGAAGGCGGCUUCCUGGCCAUAUCCUGACGCUGAGGUGCGAAAGCCAGGGUAGCGAACGGGAUUAGAUACCCCGGUAGUCCUGGCCAUAAACGAUGGAUACUAGGUGUUAGAGGUAUCGACCCCUCUAGUGCCGCAGCUAACGCAUUAAGUAUCCCGCCUGGGGAGUACGACCGCAAGGUUGAA